UUUCUAUAGAAAAACGCUUAA
This is a non-coding RNA of Caenorhabditis elegans, 21 nucleotides long. The record is from Ensembl. Lineage: Eukaryota; Metazoa; Nematoda; Chromadorea; Rhabditida; Rhabditidae.